GGUGAGAGUGACCUUCCUGCUUCUGCUAUUUUUUCAAGUUCCGAGGUGCCAUAUUUUGGGGCAGAAUGUCCUGAAUCCCAACAACAUCCACAAGAAUUAUAUUUCAAAGGCAUUUACUAUGCAGAUAAAGUACAUAGGCAUUUAUUGAAGGCACAGUUGAUUCAAAUCUAUAGGGGAUUUACCCUUUGCUGAUUUUGUGCCUUUGACUUUGUAGCACUGACUUAAUCAGGAACUAUUUGAUACUUACAGAGGGACUUGGGAAAUCUCAGAGACUGCAUUUUUCUCAAGGGACAGAUUGCAAAAUAUUCAUUACAAACUUAAAUAUAGUCAGCGUCUGCUGGACUCUAAUAGAAGCCAUCACACAUGGCUAAUUUUCCUGCAGCACCAAGAAUUGAACCUCCUUGAUGAAGAAGCCACUCAAGUCAGAGCACCUAUACCAUGUGUGCAUGCAAAGGAAGAUGUUGAAGAGAGUUUGCACUACUUGGGAGCUUGCUGUCUAGUGGAAAAGCCAAGCCAAGCACAUAUAAACACAUUCUGAGUGCACAUUGGUAGCAUUCUUUUGCAACCCAGGAUGGCAGACUCAUCACUUUCCUGGACAAAAUCCUCAGACCUUCUGAUCUGCUAGCCUCCAAUCUCACCCUACUUGAACCCUUUCUCCAAACUACUGUCAGCAGCCCGAACAAAGACAAUAACUUCAAUUCCACCUGAAAGUAGUGUCAAUUCAUCUUAUCAGGUAAUGUCAUGUUAAUAGUAUUACUCUGGUUUUCUUUACACAAAUAGUUUUUCAUCCCUGGGAAAUUAAUAAUAAAAGGUAAACCAAACUUGUAGAUUUACAAUUUAUGUGCUAGGUUUAAGAAUAAGUGACCAGCCUGGCCAAUAUGGUUAAACCCUGUCU
Molecule: long non-coding RNA, 895 nt
Filed under: Homo sapiens (human)
Lineage: Eukaryota; Metazoa; Chordata; Mammalia; Primates; Hominidae
Description: LNC_000464
Source: RNAcentral